Molecule: ribosomal RNA, 500 nt
Filed under: uncultured bacterium
Lineage: Bacteria
Description: partial 16S ribosomal RNA
Rfam family: Bacterial small subunit ribosomal RNA
Source: RNAcentral
AUUGAACGCUGGCGGCAUGCCUUACACAUGCAAGUCGAACGGCAGCACGGGAGCAAUCCUGGUGGCGAGUGGCGAACGGGUGAGUAAAGUAUCGGAACGUGCCCAGUCGUGGGGGAUAACGUAGCGAAAGUUACGCUAAUACCGCAUACGAUCUAUGGAUGAAAGCGGGGGAUCGCAAGACCUCGCGCGAUUGGAGCGGCCGAUAUCAGAUUAGGUAGUUGGUGGGGUAAAGGCUCACCAAGCCGACGAUCUGUAGCUGGUCUGAGAGGACGACCAGACACACUGGGACUGAGAAACGGCCCAGACUCCUACGGGAGGCAGCAGUGGGGAAUUUUGGACAAUGGGCGAAAGCCUGAUCCAGCCAUGCCGCGUGCAGGAUGAAGGCCUUCGGGUUGUAAACUGCUUUUGUACGGAACGAAAAGGUUUGGCCUAAUAAGCUGAGCUCAUGACGGUACCGUAAGAGUAAGCACCGGCUAACUACGUGCCAGCCGCCGCGGUAA